Molecule: ribosomal RNA, 277 nt
Filed under: Ixodes ventalloi
Lineage: Eukaryota; Metazoa; Arthropoda; Arachnida; Ixodida; Ixodidae
Description: partial 16S ribosomal RNA
Source: RNAcentral
UCUGCUCAAUGAUUUUUUAAAUUGCUGUGGUAUUUUGACUAUACGAAGGUAUUGAAAUAAGAUUUUAAAUGAGUGCUAAGAGAAUGGUUGAACAAUUAAAGACUUUCUUUUUUUAAAAAAUUAAAUUUAAUUUUUUAAAGCGCAAAAGCAAAAAUGAAAAUUUGGGACAAGAAGACCCUAUGAAUUUUUAUUUAUUUUUUAAUUUUUAAAAAUUAAAAAAUAAAUUUGAUUGGGGCGAUGGAUAAAGAGUAGAUAUCUUUAUUUAAAUUUAAAAAAU